Molecule: long non-coding RNA, 1289 nt
Filed under: Solanum tuberosum (potato)
Lineage: Eukaryota; Viridiplantae; Streptophyta; Magnoliopsida; Solanales; Solanaceae
Description: long non-coding RNA (STUB_LNC010899)
Source: RNAcentral
CCUAUAUCUAUUAUCCACCCAAACUCACCAUAAUCUACUGUGAAAGAACUGGAGAAUGAAGAAGAGCGUUGCGAGCCAUCGUUCUCACUUUUCAAUUUUCUCUUCUCUAUUACAUCGUCGUUGACUCUUGACUGUUUGUCUGCUUCACGGCUCCGCCUCAAAAUCUGGUAAGCUUCUUUUUUUUUGCUUUUUCGUAUGGGUAAUGGAAGAAUCAGAAAUCAGAAGGUUUGCUUGAGAGGCAAAAAUUACUUACUUGUUUGUGUGGCAAUGAAAGAAUCGGAAUUUGCUAUUUCGUAUGAAUACACACAUUUUUAAAAUUUUUUUUUUGCUUUUUCACAAAUGACAGAAAUUGAAAGUAGGAUGAGUGAAGGUGGGGCUUCAAAUGAAAGAAUACUUAGGACCCAUUUAUCUCCAAGAAUACUUAGAAAAAAUUUGGGAAGUGGUGUUUGGUCUUGGCAAAUAUAUAUUUGCCAAGUAUUCAAGUUCUCAAAUACUAGAAAAAACUAGUAUUUGGGUCAAAUUCUAAUAUUUGGAAAUUUUUAAAAAUAUAAAAAUUACCACAAACUUUUAUAUUUUAUAAAAAAUACUCAUUAUUUAUUAAUUUCAACUAAUAUUUGUUGUUACUUCCUCCGAAAAAGCUUGAGUUCUAAUUCCAGUGACAAAAUUGAGAAAAAGGAAUAAUUUGUGUUUAAUGAGUUAUAAUUAUAACUGAAUCAGUGACAAGUUUAAGUAUGCGAUUAAUGUAUUAUUUUUCCUAUAUUGUUAUUUUGUUAUUGUUGAUUGUUAUCAAUUAUAUUAUAAAUUUUAACGAAGCAUAUUCAUUAUAAAAUGGUAAUAUAAAUUUAUGGGUAUUUUUAAUAAUUUUUAGAACUUAAGGAUAUAAAUCAUAAUUUUUGAAAUAAUCAAAUAUUUUUAGGGAAAAUUGGGGCCAAAUUCAUGGUGAAAUUUCAUCCAAACAUGAUUUGCCAAUAAUAUUUGAGAACUUGAGGUCAAAUGCUAGUUUAAUACUUCAUCUCCAAAUGAAGUUAAAGAUAACAGUGAAGCUUCAAACAAAAGAAAAGUCAUAGAAACUACGAUUGCUUGUUGUAAGCAUUUUGAGAAAUUAAUUGAUGAAGAUGGAGCUACUAAAACAAAAUGUAAUUAUUGUGGAAAAACUUAUGCGACUACUAAUAAAGGUAAUGGUACUUUGGUUAUGAAUAAUCAUUUGACUAUCAAAAAGUGUCCUAAAUUUUCCCAUACCGUAGAUGAUGGUCAAACACUAAUAGAUUUUGUACCAUCUUCAAUGGGAG